This is a non-coding RNA of Chlorocebus sabaeus (green monkey), 5670 nucleotides long. The record is from RefSeq and is a predicted model, not a curated record. NCBI's taxonomy places the organism in Eukaryota, Metazoa, Chordata, Mammalia, Primates, Cercopithecidae.
CGAGCUGAGCCGCGCGUCCCGAGCCCAGCCUCUCCGGGGAGGAGGGACCCGGCGGCGCGGCGUGGGUCGGGAGCGGGCGCCUGGGACUACUUCUCGUUUGAAAGUUUUCAGAGGCCAAAAGUUUGAGCCGGGGCUGCGGAAGGAUCCGGCUCUGGCCGUUGCCGCGCUCGGCGACAAUUGGCGACGGAAAUUUGCAUGGCCCCGUGGCCGCGGCUUUAGGCGUCCAGAGGAUCGAUCGCCGCCAGACACCCCUGGCCGUGAUUGCCUGAGCACUUGACCGCGAGGGAUGGGGGCGCAGCGGCCUCAGGGCAAGGAGUUUAGGGCGCCCCAAGGGAGCAGCCAGGACCAGUGCCUCGCGGACGUAUUGCGCCCCGCUCCCCCAGGGGGGACCCGCGUCGACAUGCUCCUUGGUCACCGUCCUCCUCCUGCCCGGGCGCCGCCUGCCUAAGGUGGCCCGGGAAAGCACAAACGGGUCGGGCGGAUCUGCCGCUGGCGCCGGCGCAGCCCCUCCCACGUGCCCCUUCCGGCUGAUUUAUUUCUCCACCACGAUGCCAGGCACGGGCACCCUGUGCCAAGCCUGGUUAAGCGCCAGGAGUCCAAAAUGCCUGCCAUAGUCCCUGCACAAAGUUCACGGCCUCGUGCCGGGGAGAGACAGCGCCCCCUCCCCACCCCAACACAGGGUGGUGAGUGCGAUGGCAGAAGGCGCUGGGGGCCCUCCUGGAGUAGGAGAGCUAUGCCUGCCCUGCAGGGAGACUGAAAGGCUGAGAGGGACCUAGGACUCUGGGAGCCUGGGGGAGUGGCUGCAGAAACCCCAGAGCAUGGUGGCAGAGGGAGGCACAGAAAGCAGGACAAAUCUCACACCUGACUCCAGCGAGCCUUUCUUGGCACACCUCUUGCCAAGUGCUGAGCACUCUGGAAACAGCCAGUGCAGACGGCCUAUCCCCCCCUGUAGCUGCUGCUGGGAGCCUGCCUCGCCUGGGUCCUCCCAGAAGCUGGCCUCACUUCUCCAGGCCUGGGGUAACAUCUCGGGGUCAGCGCCCCAGGAGAGGAGGCGCCUGGAGGCAGCAGAGAUGUUUAUGUAACAGCAGCCCGGCAGCCUGGAGGAGCAGAUUUUCCAUAGAAGGAAGCGCCGGGGCUGUGCAGCUCCCAGGCUGAGGACACUGCCCACCUCGACGUCCUCUGCUCCGGGUGGGUGGGGGUGAGGUGGGGCACAGGGAGGCCUGAAGGCCUCAGGCCUAGUGCUGAUCAGGUGCAACUGCCUGUGUGCCUCCGUUGGCAUCUCUGCCUGUGAGCCCCAGGCCAGAAGUAAUGGCCCAUGUAGCCCUAGCUGGGGGGCCAGUCCUCAGCAUUUUUCGAAGGGGUGGCCUGGGAGGGGAGGGGAUCCCUGGAUGGGGGUUCUCCCCUGGUCUGCCCCAGCUGUGCUGACAGCAUCUCCACCUGGGGCCUCUAUCCUCUACCAGCAGAGAAGAGAGUGGCCACCCAGCAGCCAGGCACGUUCAUAAGCCCAUGUUACAGGUGGUGCAGCCGGGUUCACAGACCUGAGGGAAGCACAGGCCUCAGCCUCCCAGCUCCCAACGCCUGCACCACCCACAGCCGGGAGUACCCCAUGGACAGCUGGGGCUGAGAAGAAGCAAGGGAUGAGGGGGAUGGGCCAGCCUGGGAAGGGGGUGGGCCCCUGGCAAGUAGGUGAGAAGCUUCAUUCACAAGUUGUCUGGGCUCCCCAUUCCUCUUUUUCAGGCCAGUGGGUGUGGGCAGUGGGGAAAGGCAGGGGUCCUACCCAGCAGGAGUGCAUCUGCUGCCCUGGGGCCUGGAGACCUUCUCCUGCAGGUCAGGGGGGCAGCCCUGGGCAGCAGGCAUUGCAGGGGCUAAAGAGAAACAAAAGAAGGCAGGUUGUGUGCAGGGCACCCCAGCCACUCCAGAAACCCAAUCAGAAGGUGGGGGCUAGGACCCCAAGAAGCCGAAUUGGGGUGCAGUGCUGCCAGGCCUCCUGCGUGGGAGUCACUUUGGGCUUCCUGUCCCAGCUUGUGGUGGGAGCUGGGACAAGGUUCCCGGGAUACCCCUGGGGGCAGGAGUACCCUGAAUGAAGGGGCUGUUCCCAAGCUGGCCAAGGAGCCUGGAAGCAGAGGAGAUGGGGCUGCAGAGCCGGGUUUGCGGAGGGGAGAGGCAGACGUGUCCCGCAGCCCCCGCUUCUUCAGAGGCCACGUGCAGGUGCGGAGGGGACAGCAGCCUAGGCACUGCACCCCAGGAGACUGAACUGGGUCAGUUCCCCCUCGUUUGCUGCCAGAGAAAUGGGGGUACCAUUGUCAGGGUAGGCUAAGGAGGCCCUGCUGACAUUGGCCCAACCAGGCCCCUCCUUUGCGGCUGCUGUGAGGGCUUUCAAGAGCAGAGCAGACCCUAAGUGUGUGAAGAGGCGAAAGCACAGCUGGUCAGCACACGGGGACAGCGACGGAGCUCCUGCCGCCUGCUUGGCCCCAGGUGCUGUGCAGCACGGAGACCCAGGAAUCCGUCUUGGCUCUUGCUGCCCCCAUGACCCUGUGGCGCUGGGGAGCAGGGAGCGCGAUGCUCCCCAUUUUUCAGGAGGGAAGCUGAGGCUCAGAGACAUCAUGAGGAUGCCAGCUCAAGGCCCAGCCAGGCCUUGGUCCUCAGCUGCUGUCAUCCAGUAGGGAUGGAUUUGGGCCGGCCCUUGUUCGAGGAGGCUGGGGUCUGGAAUCUGCUGCCCCUGCUGCAUGCAGACAGCCACCGUCACCCAGGCCCGGGGUGCCCACAGGUACUGGGCAUCUCACCCUGGCCCUCACAGGGGUCGCUCCCACCCUGCACCUCUCGGUCUGUGCCGUGGACUUCCCUGCUCUGCUGUCACAGGCCUUGUCCUCUGCCGAAGCAGUCUCUUCCCCACGUGUCCCUGAGACUCCUCAGCCAUCCCAGAGGCUCUCGGCCGUCUGAGCGUCUCGAACACGAAGCUUUCCUGACCUGUGUAUGAGGCAGAACCUGUCCCUGCCAGGACCCAGCACCCACACCAGAGGAUCCGGAAGAUUUGCUGAUGGACCUGACUGCAAGAAGCUGAAGGAAUGUGGGCGCAGGCCCAGCAGUGGCUUGCGUGGUACCAAGUCAACUGGCUGUCCAUGCAAGCCACUGUGACCGGCCCUCCUGUUGGCGCCUGGAGCCCUCCCUGGACCCAGUUGCCAGAACAGUGGCCCCCAGCUGUGGCCAGGACUGUGCCCGGGGCCCUGUCUGCUCGGUGUCUCCAGCGGUCCCCACGCAGAAAAUGCCCCCUUUGCUACCUCUGAGGCCUGGGAUAGGGUCAGCGUCCGAGAGGCAGGCCCUACUGUUCCCCUCUGCACAGAGGCUGAGGGAGUGAGUUGCCCGGGCAAGUCCCCAGGCAGGCACUGAACCUCCUGAGCAGGUGAGCGGAGAAGGCCCCAGCUGGUGUGGGCCUCGAGGGCUGUAGGACUGACCAUGGAGCAGACCUGGCGUUGUCGUUCUAGAGCUGGGCCAGGGGGUGGCUGGUGCAGCACAGAUCUCAGGCGGAGGCCACCUGCCCGUCCUUUGCAUGUGACUCAGGGCUCAGACCCACCUGCCUGUCCCUGGAAGCUCCUAGACUGCUCAGAGCACAGACCUCAACGGGAAAGACAGUAGAUGGGUCUGGGUAUGGUCUCCCAGCCCUGAGAAGUGGAGAGCCCACUCAGACCUUUCCAGGACCCCAGGUCCCCUCAGCAGCCCACAGAGCCUGGGUGGAGCCUGGGCUGGGUUUGGGUCACUCGGGGGCCAAUGGCCUAUUUCUGCGGCUUCCAGGGAGUCCCAGGGAGACGGCAGAGGCAGUGCCUGGCUGGGGACCCUGGUUGGCACGCCGUUUGGGGGGUGCAUGCACUGGGAAGUUGGCCAGGCCUGCCCAAAUCAGGGGGCUUCCGGGAGGAGAGACAUCAGGAAGGUGGGCACCGAGGAGGCUUAGCACCGGGGCUGGCACCUCCAGGCAGGGCCCGUGGGGGGCUGGACCAGACAGGGAGGCUGUCACGAUGCUUGGUUCUUGGAUGGGGGCACUGAGGCUCGGAGUGGGGUGGCAGAGCUUGGCCACCAGGUCCAUCUGCACCCCCAUAUCCCCUCACUACCUCCAGACCCCCAUGAUCCCAAAUUACUCAGUCCCAGGGACCCCUGCAGAGCCUGUGGGGGAGACUUCCAUGCUGCCUGGCCCAUGCCCCCCUCACCUCAGAACUUUCUCCAAAAAGUAAGAGCCCCGGGGGACGAAACUUCGAGGCUCCACCCCUUGGGCUCUGGUACAAACCCCGAGCCUCCGAGGGCUGAGUCACUGGGAAAGCCGGACCGGGUGGCCCCUCCCCCUCCCUUUCCUUCCUUCCUCCUUCCCCCUUUCUCGGUCCCCCUCUUUUACUCUUUGCUUUAUUUCUCUUUCUUCCCUCCCUCUCUCCCUCUCUUCUUUCCUUCCUUUUAUCUUCCUCCCUUCCUCCGUCUUUGCCUUUCUUCCUUUCCAGGGGUAAAAAUAGCUGGAAACCCCCCUUUAAAAAAAACUUUAUUUUAAUCUUAGAAGGACGAUGUUGGUGUCCCAAAACAGAAUCCUUUGUCCCGGCGGAGCCACCAGCAGAGCCAGGAGCCCCCAAAGGACUUUGACCACACCCCCCACCCCACCCAGCCUGUUCCUGGUCCCCUGAGUGGAGCCUGGGCCAUCCUUGACCUCACUGCUGGGGUGAUGGAGAAGCUCCUGCCUGAGGCGAGAGUUUCUCAGGCAGCCGGAGUUUCCUCCCAUCUGCUCCAGACACAUUUAAACAAGCUGAGAACUUCCGUCCCCCCACACUCCCCCCACAGACCCCCACGGACCCCUCUGCAAAUGAACAUGGGCCUGGAAAUCGGGGUUUGGGUUACAGAGAGCACGGGGAGUUCUGUUCGUGAAGUAACACGGAGCACGAACGUUAGCAGCUAAGGAAAAAAAUUGCCAAAAACCAGAGGCGCUGCUGAGUGUUGGCGUGGGAAUGUUAGUUUAGUCAGAGCCUUGCUCUGGGCCAUUUAAAGAAAAACAGGCAUGUUGGUGGCAAAUGCCAGUUGAACACGCAGGAGAGCGGUGCUUCUGGGACCCGGAGAAGGGUGUGCAGCUGCACUCUCUCUUCCCUUUUUUCUUGGCCUCCCCAGCCUUCUUAUCAUCACGAUCAGCAUUUCACUGGUAAACAUUUGGUGCAAUAAUUUUCAAAAAUCAGCAAGAAAAGUCUGAGCGUUUAAUGUGGCUGGGACUGCGCGGCCCCAGCUGGAAGUGUGGAUUCCCAGCGCCUCCCGGAGCCCGUCUCCGAGGGAUCUCCAGUCACUUGAGGGCCUUUGCACGACAUAAAUCAGACCGACUAUCUCUAGGAUGGAGAGGGGGAUAAACUCACUUGUAGCAAGUGAAGGCCAGAGGCUGCCCUGGGAUGGCAUUGCCUGUUCCCAGGGGCGUGCGGUGGUGGAGCAGACAGGGGAACCCUGGGGCCCCCUCCCCUCCUUGCUGGGGAUGCUGCACAGACCCACCUUCAGGGACCCAAAUUCAGAGCCUGCCCCAGGGGUGGCGAACGUAUCUGGGACACUGAUCACCCACCUACUGGGUGCGUCUUGUGGCCUUUCGGUCUUUUUUUUUUUUUUUCAGAUGGAGUCUCACUCUGUAGCCCAGGUUAGAGUGCAAUGGCGUGAUCUCGGCUCACU